Molecule: ribosomal RNA, 2648 nt
Filed under: Patescibacteria group bacterium UBA2196
Lineage: Bacteria
Description: bacterial LSU rRNA
Rfam family: Bacterial large subunit ribosomal RNA
Source: RNAcentral
AAUAAAGCGCAUGGUGGAUGCCUAGACUCAAAAAGACGAUGAAGGACGUAGCAAUCUGCGAUAAGCCUCGGGGAGCUGAUAAGCAAGCUUUGAUCCGGGGAUCUCCGAAUGGGAAAACCCUAUUGUGUAAACCACAAUAAAUCGUGCAUGGCACGGAAUUUCUAAUUUCUAAUUUCUAAUUUCUAAACAAUUUCUAAUGAUUAAAUUCCAAAAUAAAAUUUGGAAAUUAAAAAUUGAGAUUUAUUUGGAAAUUGUGAUUUGGGAUUUGGAUUUUUCAGCGCGUAGCGCUGACGUGGUAGAGGAGUAUUCUUAAAUCGUUGAAGUCGGACCCGCGAGGGCUGGUGGAGAUUUAAGAAGCAAGAAUGUUGGCAUAAGUAACAAAAAGAUCGGUUAAAAUCCGAUCCACCGAAAGCCUGAGGUUUCCUGGGCAACGACCAUCGACCCAGGGUUAGGCGAUCCUAACUCCGUACCUUUUAGUCUUUGUUAAAAUAAAUAACAAAAAUUAAAAGGUGCGGGGGAUGGAAGAGCAGGUUAAUAUUCCUGCCCUACUGUAAGUUUAUCCAUUAACUGACGCAUUUAAGUGUGUGAUCGUCAUAUGACUAUGGCGUUUCUGCUUUACCGCAAGGUGGAGUGGAUAGAAGUGAAAGCUCCGGCUGGAUCAAAUUCACGUAAUUAUAGUGCCAAGAAAAGGUUAUUGGUCACGAUUUAUAGUAUUCGUACCGCAAACCGACACAGGUAGGCGGGUUGAGCAUACUAAGGUGUACGAGAGAACCCUUUUUAAGGAAUUCGGCAAAACAGCGGGCGUAACUUAGGGAUAAGCCCUCCCGUUCUGGGCGCAAGCUUUUGAACGGGCGCAGCGAAAGAGCUUUGGCGACUGUUUAUCAAAAACACAGGUCUCUGCUUAAGUCGUAAGACUAUGUAUAGGGACUGAUGCCUGGCCAGUGUCCGAACGUUAAGGUGAGGGGUCAUUCCUCCGUAAGGAGGAGGCAGCCUUGAUCUGAAGCGCGGAUGAACGCCGGCGGUAACUAUAACCGUCCUAAGGUUUUGUGGCAUAAUUUUUUAAGCCACAAAAGGACUAGGACUGUUAUAGAAAUGAAUCUGCUGCCUCUUUUUAUAGUAAUAUAAAAAAUGGUCCUAAAAAAUUUGGCCAUAUGCUGGAAAUUUAUUUUAUGUUAUAAUUCGGACAAAGGAUAUUUAACCCUUGUCUAAAAUAUACAAAACAAAAUGAACAAUCAGCAGGAAAGACUAAUUAAAUUAGGUUGGAUAAAAGGUUUUGUUGACGGUGAAGGAUGUUUUUCUAUUAGUUUAAUCAAACAAAACAAUAGAAAAGAAAAAAAUAGAAUGAGAAAAGGCUACAAAACCGGAUAUCAAAUUUUUCACGAAUUUGCUGUUACCCAAGGCGCUAAAAGUUUAAAUUCUUUAGAAGCGCUAAAAAAAUUUUUUGGGGUAGGUAAUAUUUAUGUGAAUAAAAGACAUGAUAAUCAUCAUGACAACCUUUAUCGUUAUGUAGUAAGAAAAAGAGAUGAAUUAACAACGGUAAUAAUUCCUUUUUUUAAAACCAACAAGUUGCUAACUUCAAAAAAUGAAAAUUUUGAAAAAUUUGCUCAGUGCGUAGAGAUGACUGCAAAUAAAGAGCACUUGACUUUGAAAGGCUUAAAAAAGAUAAUUUCAAUUGCUAAUUUAAUGAACAGAAAAAAGAAAAGAAAAAUUUAAUUAGAAUCCUCAGAGACUAUACGCCAAACAUCCCCUAGUGGGAUGAAGAUAUAGUCCUUCGUUUAAAGGAAACGAAAAGCGAAAUUCCUUGUCGGCUAACUUCCGACCUGCACGAAUGGCAUAACGGUCUAAGCACUGUCUUAAAAAGGGACUCGGUGAAAUUGCAAGGCCAGUGAAGAUGCUGGCUACUCACAGAUAGACGAAAAGACCCCGUGAAGCUUUACUAUAACUUGAUAUUGACCUAUUGAUUAACAUGUUCAGCAUAGGUGGGACCCGCCCAGAGCGCAAGCUUUUGGGCGGGACCAGUGAGAUACCACCCUUGUUAUUCAGUAGUUCUAACCUCGAUUUAUCGAGAGACAGUAUCUGGCGGGUAGUUUGAGUGGGGCGCUCGCCUCCUAAAAAGUAACGGAGGCAUUUACAAAGGUUGGCUAAUUCCGGAUGGAAACCGGGAUUGUCGGGUAAACCCAUAAGCCAGCUUUACUGCGAGUCCUACAAGACGAGCAGUUACGAAAGUAGAAGUUAGUGAACCGACCAUCCCAUUUAGGUGGGUGGAAGAUCACUGGACAAAAGCUACUCCGGGGAUAACAGGCUGAUCCCGCCCAAGAGUUCANNUAAAGUGGUACGUGAGCUGGGUUCAAAACGUCGUGAGACAGUUUGGUCUCCUAUCUUCUGUGAGCGUCAAAUUUUGAGGAGCUUCUUCUCUAGUACGAGAGGACCGAGAAGGACGAACCUCUGAUGUACCGGUUGUCGUGUCAACGGCAUCGCCGGGUAGUCAAGUUCGGGUUGGAUAAACGCUGAAAGCAUAUAAGCGUGAAGCCGUCUCCAAGAUUAGAAUUUAUUGUCUCCUGGCAGACUACCAGGUUGAUAGGUGGCUGUGUGUAAGGUCCGUAAGGACUUCAGCAAAGGCCAUACUAAUCAGACAAAACUUUCAAUGU